GACGAACGCUGGCGGCGUGCUUAACACAUGCAAGUCGAGCGGUAAGGCCUCUUUUGGGUUGCACGAUCGGCGUACUGGUGAGUAACACGUGGGUGACCUGCCCUCAUCUCUUGGAUCAGCCUGGGAAAUUGGGUCUAAUACCGGAUAUUACUUUUCCUCGCAUGUGGUUUGGUGGACCGUUUUUUCGGCUGGGGAUGGUCCGGCGGCCUAUCAGCUUGUUGGCGGGGCGAUGGCUUACUAAGGCGAUGACGGGUAGCCGGCCUGAGAGGUCGCCGGGCCACACUGGGACGGAGAGACGGCCCAGACUGCUACGGGAGGCAGAAGUGGGGAAUAUUGCGCGAUGGGCGGAAGCGUGACGCAGCGAGGCCGCGGGGGGGAUGACGGCCUUCGGGUUGUAGACCGCUUUCGAGCCCGAAGAAUGUGGACGGUAGGGGUAGAAGAAGCACCGGCCAACUACGUG
This 460-nucleotide ribosomal RNA is filed under the name uncultured bacterium. RNAcentral's name for it is "partial 16S ribosomal RNA". It matches the Rfam family "Bacterial small subunit ribosomal RNA", at positions 28 to 507 of the family's 1533-position model. The record is from RNAcentral.